RNAcentral lists this ribosomal RNA (496 nucleotides) under uncultured bacterium. RNAcentral's name for it is "partial 16S ribosomal RNA". It matches the Rfam family "Bacterial small subunit ribosomal RNA", at positions 28 to 507 of the family's 1533-position model. The record is from RNAcentral.
GAUGAACGCUGGCGGCGUGCCUAAUACAUGCAAGUCGAGCGAACAGACGAGGAGCUUGCUCCUCUGACGUUAGCGGCGGACGGGUGAGUAACACGUGGAUAACCUACCUAUAAGACUGGGAUAACUUCGGGAAACCGGAGCUAAUACCGGAUAACAUGUUGAACCGCAUGGUUCAACAGUGAAAGACGGUUUUGCUGUCACUUAUAGAUGGAUCCGCGUCGCAUUAGCUAGUUGGUAGGUAACGGCUUACCAAGGCAACGAUGCGUAGCCGACCUGAGAGGGUGAUCGGCCACACUGGAACUGAGACACGGUCCAGACUCCUACGGGAGGCAGCAGUAGGGAAUCUUCCGCAAUGGGCGAAAGCCUGACGGAGCAACGCCGCGUGAGUGAAGAAGGUCUUCGGAUCGUAAAACUCUGUUAUUAGGGAAGAACAAAUGUGUAAGUAACUAUGCACGUCUUGACGGUACCUAAUCAGAAAGCCACGGCUAACUACGUG